Anguilla anguilla (European eel) is the source of this 2145-nucleotide long non-coding RNA. RefSeq lists it as uncharacterized. The record is from RefSeq and is a predicted model, not a curated record. Lineage: Eukaryota; Metazoa; Chordata; Actinopteri; Anguilliformes; Anguillidae. The transcript is spliced from 3 exons.
UCGAUGUCGCAUUAAGAGAAACAUCAGCAGGGAAAUUAUGCUAUUCCCAUUUUCUGCUUGGCCAUGGUCAAGAAACAUAAACUACAACACACAAACAGAGAGAGAUAUGUCACAUGUUGCAUUUUUCUUUUCGAUAGUUAGUUUUAUUUUCGAUUAGCUAACAAAUGCUCGGCGCCAGCAGACGAAGAACAACUCAAAGGUAAGAAAGACAAAGACAAAACAAAGUGGGCACCGUCUUCUCAGAAUGCAUAAUCACUGGCCACACCAAAACGAGUGGAAUGCCCGUGAGAUGCGAAACUCCGUUGAUAACGAUCCACCGCGAGUAUGAAGUCAAGGAUGAGUCAGACCUCCGAUGGUCAAAUCUUCAGAGAUGGGACCUACUAACCAUCACCCGCCAGAGAGCGACAUGCUCCAUUUGCAGCUUAGGCACUGGGCAGAAGCUUUUAACCAAAGCAGCUAAUGAAAAGCGUGUUCAAUGCGUUGGGUGAACUGCUACUACAGACGUGUAAAUGAAGCUGCAAUAAGAUUAGCACUGUCACAAGACCUGCAAGAUAAAGGGAGAGGAGGUUUAGUACUUUAAAAAAAUAACAACAUCAAUCGUGGGAUAAUCUGAAAAGGCGUGUUUUCACACACACCUCCUCUUGCAAGAGGACCUGUUACCUUAAUCUUACAGCAAGCAUUGGACCAUUACCUGUACAAACAUUUUCAAGCAAAAAAGUACCACCAAUAACAAGGUCAUAUGCAGAGUUUGAUAAAAUCAAGGCAGUCUGAUGAAAUCAGUUUCAACCUGACGCACUUGCCUGUCAGAGGAAAUAUGAGUCAAGUUCAAUCUGACAGCCUGGCAGUCUGAUAACAACAACAGCAGCAUUGCAUUAGACUGUCAGGCACUGUGUGAUAGGGUCUGUCACUAUCUGAUAGAAUGAAUCACUAUCUGAUAGAGUGGUGCAGUCUGAUAGAAUCAGUCACUAUCUGAUUGUGUGGUGCGGUCUGAUAGCUAGUCAGUAUCUAAUAGCAUGGUGCAGUCUGAAAGUUUGUCACUAUCUGAUUGUGUGGUGCAGUCGGGUUCAGUUUGAGACAGCAGUGCUGGUCUCCAGGGGGUUCUCCUUUUCUCCAGGGCAGAGUGCAGUAGCUCCCAGUUAUGCGCUCCACAGCGGAAGUGUUUUAACGCGCGUAAGUGAGCAGAUGUGUUCUGAUGUACUCUCAGUCUUUCUCUGGAUACAGGGCCAUGAUUUCUACAGCCUGUCCAGACUCUGUCGCUUCAGGCACAUCUGCCAACUGCCCAGCCAGAAAUGUCACGUUUUGCAUCUCACUUUUCUUCAGCUGGACUUGAUUCAGGACUGUGUUUUUCCACCAAGCCCUUUGAGAGGGCCCAUGUCCCUACAGAUUUCAUUAUUUAUAAGGGAACGUCAUGCAUUGGUCCUGACAAAACAAAGGGUCUGUGAACAAUGAGUCUGUACAGUUUUGAUCCCUGCAGAUCCUAAAAGAUGUGAACGAUGCAAGACAUCCCUUAGGAAAUUACAAAGUUUAGGAGACAGAAUGUCAACAAUUGACAUAUAAUACUUUAAUGAAAUGCCAUUUUUAAAAGAAGGAUUUUAAGGUUUUACACUAAAUGGGGGCCAUCAUAAUUUUCAAGCUCAUCAAGCUCAAUACUGUUAUUCCUACUUAGUGUGUCUAGAAUGUAGUUCUCUCUUUCUUACAUGAACACAGUCCAUUAAAUGUCAUAAACAAUUCAUUAUUUUACCCUAUUCUUCUGAAUCCAAAAUUCAAACAAGACUAAACUUUCAAUUUCUCACAGUUAAUUCGGUUUCAAAUUAUAAUGAAACUUUUAAAUCUUAGGCAAGCCCUUGUCACCCUGUCAUCCUGCAUCACGUAAGGCGUGUUGUUAAGACUCACACUGCUCCACCAUGAAAAUCCAAAGGAAACAGUGUCAUAGGGAGGUAUAAAUGGGUGGUGUUUAAAAUUAUGCAUGAACAUGCUCCAAGUACAAGGAGUUUGACUGCUUAAAGGUUUCCUCCCUCAAUAUGGGCCAGAUUCUGUUUCUCUCUCGGCGUUUAGAGGCCUUCAGGACCAUGGACAGCGGCAUCGUCCCCCAACAGGCAUGCACAGCUGUGUCUGACUGAUAAUAAACCCAAGCCUGGCUCAUUG